RNAcentral lists this ribosomal RNA (431 nucleotides) under uncultured bacterium. Its description in RNAcentral is "partial 16S ribosomal RNA". It matches the Rfam family "Bacterial small subunit ribosomal RNA", at positions 29 to 507 of the family's 1533-position model. The record is from RNAcentral.
AACGAACGCUGGCGGCAGGCUUAACACAUGCAAGUCGAGCGCCCCGCAAGGGGAGCGGCAGACGGGUGAGUAACGCGUGGGAACGUACCUUUUGGUUCGGAACAACUCCGGGAAACUGGAGCUAAUACCGGAUAAGCCCUAACGGGGAAAGAUUUAUCGCCGAAAGAUCGGCCCGCGUCUGAUUAGCUAGUUGGUGAGGUAACGGCUCACCAAGGCGACGAUCAGUAGCUGGUCUGAGAGGAUGAUCAGCCACACUGGGACUGAGACACGGCCUAGACUCCUACGGGAGACAGCAGUGGGGAAUAUUGGACAAUGGGCGCAAGCCUGAUCCAGCCAUGCCGCGUGAGUGAUGAAGGCCUUAGGGUUGUAAAGCUCUUUUGUCCGGGAAGAUAAUGACUGUACCGGAAGAAUAAGCCCCGGCUAACUUCGUG